AAAAAAAAAGAUGAACCAGUGUGCGAUCCAUCCAAGCGCUUUCUCUUCCCGCGAAGAGAUACGGAGUUCUGUUUCGGUUCCCAUGUCGGAGCGGAGAGAUUCGGUUGUUUGCCCCAAACCGAGACGUCUCGGUCUUUUGAACGCCACCAUCAACGACCAGCCUGUUAGGUCUCUCAGAUGGCAUUUCAGCCACCAAUCAGAGCUCUGUGAUUCAAAAGCAGGAACCGAUCUUUUAGACAUCAUCCUGACAAAGGUGAGGGUUUUUAUCCUUUCCUUUAUUUUUUUUUUUUAAUUUUGCUUUGGUUUCGUGUUUGCGCGUAUGGUGGUCAUUAAUUUAUUUUGAUGUAUAAUAAAUUAUUUUGCUAUUAAAGAAUUUGGGCGUGGUUCUUGUAACAAUGGCCAUAUUUCAACAGAAAGUAGAAUUCACAGCACAUCUGGGGACCAUCCAUAAACUUGUGGUUGGUUAGUUCUUGUUAAAACACCUUGUCGGUUUCAUGGGUCUCUUCUGUUCAUCAAAAUUAUUCUAGAAGAAAGCGACACCAUUUAGACAUGCGACACCAUUUAGACAUGCAAAAGAUCUGUUGCCGUUUCAAUUUUACAUGUUAUUAUAGAUUUUUAGCUUCUAAAUAUUUGUUCAAUCCGCAUAAUUAACUUGAUUAUGGGGUAAAUAUUUGCAGGGUGGUUAUGGUGUUGAACAAUCUUGUACACAGGUAGCCUCGUCGCCCCCUUUUUUUGUGGGUCACCGCCGAGCAGAGUAUCUAACCCAUUAAUUCAAGACGCUCGAUUUGGGGAUGAGAAACUCUCCCCUAUGUCGCCACUUAUGCCUAUGCCGAUUCCGCCUCCAUCGGGUUUAUCAUCAUCUCCGACUUCCUCUUCAAGGAAAGGAGGCUGCGUCCGAUCAAAUUUUGGAAACAAACCACCAGUGAGGAUUGAGGGAUUUGAUUGCCUCGACAGGGAUCGCAGGAAUUGCAGCAUCCCUGCAUUGGCCUAGAGAAAACCCCAUUUCAAUUAAUACAAAAAGGUACAUAGUUAAAAAGAGGAGCUAAACAAACAAUCGCGUCAACAACUUCGGUAGUGUGAGGAAUUUUGAAACUCUCAUGAGAGGGAAAGGUGGAGAGAAUCUUUUGCUAGUGUAAAUAUGCGUUUAAGGGUUCUUUUGUAUGUAAUGAUGUGUCUCUGUAAGUCAAAUCAGUGUCAACAAAAAUAAUGGAGGGUUACUAGAAUUUUUGUGGUUGAGCUGAGAAAACAUUCUUUCUUGCUUAAUCCUGUUUGGUUAUUAUAAGCAGUGAUGAGAGUCUCAGGUGAGAAUGUGAAAAUUUUCUUUUUGUGUCCCUUUUUUGGGAUCCUGGAGUUUCAAUGAGCGGCUUAAGAAGGGAAAUUUGUACAGAAAUCUUAGUCGGCGUUGAGUGUUUAAUGUAGUAAUUUACAAUGUAAAUAUGUCCGUUUUCUUUAAUCAGUGGAAUGAUUCUGUUUUUCGUUUUUUCAUCUACCAUUGAUUUCGAGCCUGGAAAAGUAAAAAUAGUAGGUGAUGAUGCAUUUGUAUUCGCUUGUGAUUUACGCCAAUGAGCAAAAGAAAUGGGCCCUGGCGACGCGGGGUUGAUUGAUUGUCAAUGGCUCCUUGUCUGGAUCCCAUCCAUGUAAGUGAUUAAAAAGCUUCACACCCCGCAAUUGCUGCGC
This 1677-nucleotide unclassified non-coding RNA is filed under the name Hevea brasiliensis (rubber tree). Lineage: Eukaryota; Viridiplantae; Streptophyta; Magnoliopsida; Malpighiales; Euphorbiaceae. The record is from RNAcentral.